CUCCCGCUGCCCGCGGCGGGGCCGCCCGCGCUGCACGGGCGGAGGUCGCGGCCCCGGUGCCCGUCCCCUCGCCCCGGGCUCCGGCACCUUUCCCCGGAAGGGAGACGCCGUUGCUUGGGCUGCUGCCCCCCCGUUCCCGGUGACUCAGAGCUGAGUGUGGUCACAGACUUCACCAGAUGACCUGCCUUCUUUUCAUAACCAUUCCAUGACAUCUAACAGUGAUUUAAGAAUUCUAGUGAAUUAAAGUCCCACAAGUUUCCUGGCAGGUUUUGCCAUUUCAAAAGGAUGGAAAAGAGAGAAGAAAACAAGUGUCAACAAGGAAAAUAAAGCAACCAUCAUCUCCUCCCAGUCCUGUUUCCCAUCCCUUCUUCCUCGCAGAACAUGCUCUUCCCAUUAUCCCUUCUGACCUCUGAAACAAAAGGGAAAAACAGAACGUGUGGUUAACGAAGUAAAGAGGGGGUGUGAAAGAAAAGCAGACAAAAGAAAGCAAAAGGUCUGUCAUGCCACGGAGAGAAGAACGGGAUGUGUUCUGAGGAAAGUAACAAAUGCCAGAGGGAAGAUCUGCAGGGGAAGCUGAGGAGAACUGCAUGUACCAGGGCUGGAGGAGGUCCUGGGGCUGGUUUGUCUACCAGUCCCAGAAGACAGCAGCUGAAUGAAAGCACUGCUCAGUACUGUGGUUCAAACCAAUGAUUUCCUGAGGAUCCGCAUCAGUUUCUGUACAAUAAAGUUUUU
Long non-coding RNA from Vidua macroura (Pin-tailed whydah), 732 nucleotides. RefSeq lists it as uncharacterized. NCBI's taxonomy places the organism in Eukaryota, Metazoa, Chordata, Aves, Passeriformes, Viduidae. The transcript has 4 exons. The record is from RefSeq and is a predicted model, not a curated record.